Molecule: ribosomal RNA, 508 nt
Filed under: uncultured bacterium
Lineage: Bacteria
Description: bacterial SSU rRNA
Rfam family: Bacterial small subunit ribosomal RNA
Source: RNAcentral
ACUACGAGUUUGAUCCUGGCUCAGAUUGAACGCUGGCGGCAGGCCUAACACAUGCAAGUCGAGCGGAUGAAAGGGGCUUGCUCCUGGAUUCAGCGGCGGACGGGUGAGUAAUGCGCAGGAAUCUACCUAGUAGUGGGGGAUAACGUUUCGAAAGGAACGCUAAUACCGCAUACGUUCUGAGGAAGAAAGCAGGGGACCUUCGGGCCUUGCGCUAUCAGAUGAGCCCAGGUCGGAUUAGCUAGUAGGUGAGGUAAAGGCUCACCUAGGCGACGAUCCGUAGCUGGUCUGAGAGGAUGAUCAGCCACACUGGAACUGAGACACGGUCCAGACUCCUACGGGAGGCAGCAGUGGGGAAUUUUGGACAAUGGGGGCAACCCUGAUCCAGCAAUGCCGCGUGAGUGAAGAAGGCCUUCGGGUUGUAAAGCUCUUUUGUUUGGGAAGAAAUCCCUAAGGAUAAUACCCUUGGGGGAUGACGGUACCAAAAGAAUAAGCACCGGCUAACUACGUG